GUAACUAGAUUAUGACAUGUAGUGAUACUUAACGUACCGUGGAUUGCCAAAUAUUUCUUUGUUUCAUCGCACGCAAAAAAUUUUAUGCCUCGCACCCAUCGUACUGUACGUAUAUGUGUGUAUUAUUGCAAUGAUAAUAGGACUUCAAUACGUUAUUUUAAGUUUCUUUUUUAAAAAUUUUACAGAGCUAUAUUAUGUAUUGUAAAAAUUUUUUUAAAGUAGCUCAAUGUCAUUUUCGCAAACCCUUUACCCAAUUACGUAUUAUACAAUUCCCAUAUCUUCCCAGAUUUAUUUGGAUAGGCUGCGUGUGUUUUUACCAUAAAGAUAGAGCACCUCGUGUGGAGUUAAGAUCAAUUAAA
Schizosaccharomyces pombe (fission yeast) is the source of this 359-nucleotide non-coding RNA. NCBI's taxonomy places the organism in Eukaryota, Fungi, Ascomycota, Schizosaccharomycetes, Schizosaccharomycetales, Schizosaccharomycetaceae. The record is from the annotation of a GenBank genome assembly.